GACGUAGGGGGCAAGCGUUAUUCGGAAUUAUUGGGCGUAAAGCGCUCGUAGGCGGGACUGGAAGUCCGUGUUGAAAGACCUCGGCUCAACUGAGGGACCGGCUCGGAUACUCUAGUUCUUGAGGCAAUCAGAGGGUGAUGGAAUUCCCGGUGUAGCGGUGAAAAUGCGUAGAUAUCGGGAGGAACACCAGUGGCGAAGGCGAUCACCUGGGGUUGUUCUGACGCUGAGGAGCGAAAAGCUAGGGGGAGCAAACGGGG
This 257-nucleotide ribosomal RNA is filed under the name uncultured bacterium. RNAcentral describes it as "partial 16S ribosomal RNA". It matches the Rfam family "Bacterial small subunit ribosomal RNA", at positions 524 to 777 of the family's 1533-position model. The record is from RNAcentral.